GUGGCUUCUCAGGAGGCUGUCUCUGUCCAGCUGUCCUGGGGGAACAUGUGCAGAACUCUGUGGCUGGGAAUCUGGGACCAAAUACUGGCUCCGGAUGGACGGGUUCCUCUUCCAUCUGCAACCCAGAUUCUAAUGCCUUACAUAGGAACCCGCUGAGUGCAGCGAAACCCUUUCCUGUGCAGUCUGUUGGUUCAAACUGCGGAAAUGCACCACGGGAUUCAAGAGUGACAUCAGGAUGGGGUUUGUGAUGAUUUCACCUAGGAGACGUCGCGUUUAGAGUUGAAUCCCAGAGCGAGCGAGCGCUUCCCCCUGUUAAGCAGUGGCUUAGGAUUUGUGAGAGAAAACAGGAAGACAUGACUGGCAGUGACACCGAAGAAUUCAGUAGCUAUAAUGAACACCGUGGUCUGGCAGAGUCUGACAUUUUCCAAGGAACCCGGCUGAGCUCCUGUGGGAGCUGCUCCCUGCACUGAGUGGUCCCUUGGCUGGCAGGCUGCUUUGUGGUCAACCACGUGAUACCUG
Molecule: long non-coding RNA, 519 nt
Organism: Saimiri boliviensis boliviensis (Bolivian squirrel monkey)
Lineage: Eukaryota; Metazoa; Chordata; Mammalia; Primates; Cebidae
Source: RefSeq, a predicted model, not a curated record